This 542-nucleotide transfer RNA is filed under the name uncultured Prochlorococcus sp. RNAcentral's name for it is "partial 16S-23S ribosomal RNA intergenic spacer". The stretch from base 212 to 284 matches the Rfam family "tRNA". The record is from RNAcentral. Lineage: Bacteria; Bacillati; Cyanobacteriota; Cyanophyceae; Synechococcales; Prochlorococcaceae.
CAGGGAGACAACAAAAUGUUUAAUAUUAUUAUUUUGUCACCUUAGGUCGAUCGGUAUCUCACGUUCUUAAUUUGUUAAGAAUUUCAUUUCCUAAGUUUUUCUAGGUCACACCCAUUAUUUUUCCUGGGCCAUUAGCUCAGGUGGUUAGAGCGCACCCCUGAUAAGGGUGAGGUCCCUGGUUCAAGUCCAGGAUGGCCCAUAUCUCUAUGUUGGGGGUAUAGCUCAGUUGGUAGAGCGCCUGCUUUGCAAGCAGGAUGUCAGCGGUUCGAGUCCGCUUACCUCCACUGAUUACCACCUCUUCCAUAACCGGUAGAAAGGAAAUUUUUUGAGUUGUGAUCAUUAUUCUGAACGAAUCUAGCUUCCUAAUGAAUUCAUUAAGAUGCUGGACUCAUUGAAUUAAUUUCAUUGUUUUCAGAGAACCUUGACAACUGCAUAGAUUAUUUUUAAAGACAAUAAGCAUCUUUAAUGAUGCAGAUUUAUUAUUUGUGCGAAUGCAUUAAUAACAAUUCUAUUAAGCUGAUGCUUCAAUUUUUGAAGUUAUU